Non-coding RNA from Heligmosomoides polygyrus, 375 nucleotides. NCBI's taxonomy places the organism in Eukaryota, Metazoa, Nematoda, Chromadorea, Rhabditida, Heligmosomidae. The record is from Rfam.
UGUUUCUAUGCCUCCCACACUAUAAAGCCAAACGCAGGCUGCAAUUGGGCCAUUCCUGUUAAGCGGAACUGGCGCUAUGGGAGGAACCGAACGUUGGGUGAAGGUGUCAAGCCGUCCGCUCAUGAGACCCAUAGAAGACGUUGGCUGAUAGAGAGCAGGACGGCGGCCGUGGAAGUCGGAACCCGCUAAGGAGUGUGUAAGAACUCAUCUGCCGAAUCAACUAGCCCUGAAAAUGGAUGCUUGAAGGUAAGACUUAAACCUUACCGUUGCCAGCUUGUACACUGUCAUGCGCCUGGCCGCAACGAAUAGGGGGGGGGGUCGUGGCGGUUGCGUCGAAGAGUUCUGGUGUAGGCCCAGCUGGAGCUUCCGCUAAUG